UACGAAGGGGGCGAGCGUUGUUCGGAAUUACUGGGCGUAAAGGGCGCGUAGGCGGUCCGACAAGUCGGGGGUGAAAUCCUGCAGCUUAACUGCAGAAGUGCCUUCGAUACUGUCGGUCUUGAGGGAGAUAGGGGUGUGCGGAACUUCCAGUGGAGCGGUGAAAUGCGUUGAUAUUGGAAGGAACGCCGGAGGCGAAAGCGGCGCACUGGAUCUCUUCUGACGCUGAGGCGCGAAAGCUAGGGGAGCAAACGGG
RNAcentral lists this ribosomal RNA (253 nucleotides) under uncultured bacterium. RNAcentral describes it as "partial 16S ribosomal RNA". It matches the Rfam family "Bacterial small subunit ribosomal RNA", at positions 524 to 776 of the family's 1533-position model. The record is from RNAcentral.